RNAcentral lists this long non-coding RNA (392 nucleotides) under Monodelphis domestica (gray short-tailed opossum). Its description in RNAcentral is "lncRNA (ENSMODG00000047398.1)". The record is from RNAcentral. Lineage: Eukaryota; Metazoa; Chordata; Mammalia; Didelphimorphia; Didelphidae.
CUGACAACAAGUAGAAGAUGCAGCUACUUAUUUUAUUUCUCUCUUUUCUGCCAGGAAUGACUGAUAUUAGACAGGACAACAAAAAUGACUUCAAGGGAGUUGAUAUCUAAGAGGGACAGAGAUUGGGUUUGGGAGAUAGAGAUUGAGGACUGGAGGAGGAAGUCUUGGAGAAAUGACCCUCUGCCUCCCUUCUUGAUCUUAGCUGUUACUGAGAGACAGCUUGAACCAGAGAGAUUUAAGGGUUCACUGGAAGAUAGUCAGUGUCCAGAAGGAUCCUCCAUUUCAGAGGGCUUCCUUUCAGACCGUCCACUCCAGGAGAGAACUGACCAGAAGUAAGUUGGAAGUUUUUAAUUCUCCCAGCUCAUUUGUUCCUUCCUGGAAUCCUGAGUCUU